This is a non-coding RNA of Sphaeramia orbicularis (orbiculate cardinalfish), 375 nucleotides long. The record is from the annotation of a RefSeq genome assembly. Lineage: Eukaryota; Metazoa; Chordata; Actinopteri; Kurtiformes; Apogonidae.
AUGACUUUGGUCUCCGUCCUCAUCUGGACUCUCCUCUGCUGCUGCUUCACAGAGUCCAGAGGCCAGGUCACAGUGACUCAGCCUGGAGCAGUGAGCUCUGAUCUGGGAGCCUCCACCACCAUCACAUGUACCACCAGUCAGAAUGUUCGUAACUCUAACUAUUUAGCCUGGUACCAACAGAGAGAUGGAGAAACUCCUAAACUUCUCAUUUACUAUGCCACCACUCGAGCAUCAGGGAUUUCCAGUCGUUUUUCAGGCAGUGGAUCAAACUCUCAUUUCACUCUGACCAUCAGUGAUGUUCAGGCUGAAGACGCAGCAGUUUAUUACUGUCAGAGUUAUCACUACAUCAACAGUCAGUAUGUGUUCACACAGUGA